AUGAAGUCGCAUGCAAAGGAGCUGAUGGAGGGGAUACCAGGUGAGAUUCGCUUCCAUCAGAAGGGGAGAGUGGCAGACGAAAGAGGCAACAUCGACAAUCAGGAGGUACUGCCAUACAUUAGGAGAUCUUCUCCAAAGGAAGUGGUCCCGUCCAUAGUAGGAUUUGUGGAUUUGAGUAUUAAUGUUUUGGAAAGAAAUGUUGCUGACCAGAUUCCUAGAGAGAUUUUCUCAUUGGGAAUUAUAAAAAAGGAAGAGGGAAAUCAGGGGACGGCUUUUAUCUGCACAUUUAGGGAGAAGAGAGAAAUUUAG
This 309-nucleotide ribosomal RNA is filed under the name Triticum aestivum (bread wheat). Its description in RNAcentral is "partial small subunit ribosomal RNA". Lineage: Eukaryota; Viridiplantae; Streptophyta; Magnoliopsida; Poales; Poaceae. The record is from RNAcentral.